Molecule: long non-coding RNA, 568 nt
Organism: Diorhabda sublineata
Lineage: Eukaryota; Metazoa; Arthropoda; Insecta; Coleoptera; Chrysomelidae
Exons: 3
Source: RefSeq, a predicted model, not a curated record
GUCAAUCUGGAUUCUGAAACUAAGCUGCAAUCAUGCAUCGAGAAACAACCAAGAUUAUUGAUCUUGUAAAGGUGUUUGAUAUUGUUUGUUUAUUAGCUAUUUGCAUUUUUGGGCAUUUGAAAGUUAUUAUGUGUUGCGAAUUUUGCUGUCGUAUUUACUUAGUCAAUAUGAGUAAACAAGUAAAGGGCUGUUGUGUACCAGGAUGCACGAAUAAGCAAGCGAAAAGCUUGCAGGAUGUCCGAAAGUAUGUUCUACCUUCUUAGAUCACUAGUAACAGUUUUCCAGUCAUUGGAUAGGAAUAGUUUAAUUUGGAAACAGAUUUUUGGAAAGUUUUAUCAAAAGAACAAAAGGAACUCUUGAGGAUCUUGUUGAAAAUAUAUGAUGUAUGAAUGUGUAUUAAUUUGACUUGUAAAUUGAAUACAUCAUACAAAGUCUAAGUAAUUUGGAAAUUACAAACAUUGGCUUCAAUUUUUAACUUCGAUAGAAACAGGAAAGCUGGCUGAAACUGUAAUCUUAGAACCAAGUUGUUUCAAUCAAACAAUUGACAUAACCAUUUAUGGAGACGUAG